This 256-nucleotide ribosomal RNA is filed under the name uncultured bacterium. RNAcentral describes it as "partial 16S ribosomal RNA". It matches the Rfam family "Bacterial small subunit ribosomal RNA", at positions 103 to 353 of the family's 1533-position model. The record is from RNAcentral.
CGGGUGAGUAACGCGUAGGUAACCUGCCUUGUAGCGGGGGAUAACUAUUGGAACGAUAGCUAAUACCGCAUAACAAUGGAUGACCCAUGUCAUUUAUUUGAAAGGGGCAAAUGCUCCACUACAAGAUGGACCUGCGUUGUAUUAGCUAGUAGGUGAGGUAACGGCUCACCUAGGCGACGAUACAUAGCCGACCUGAGAGGGUGAUCGGCCACACUGGGACUGAGACACGGCCCAGACUCCUACGGGAGGCAGCAUG